AAGUAGUGUGACAUGCCCGUUUGGUAUUAAACUCUGAUGUAUUAUUUAUUAUUUAAUUGUUUGGGAUAACGGGGUGUUACACCUGG
RNAcentral lists this microRNA precursor (86 nucleotides) under Medicago truncatula (barrel medic). RNAcentral describes it as "MIR2617 microRNA precursor family". It matches the Rfam family "MIR2617 microRNA precursor family". The record is from Rfam by way of RNAcentral. Lineage: Eukaryota; Viridiplantae; Streptophyta; Magnoliopsida; Fabales; Fabaceae.